Molecule: transfer RNA, 75 nt
Filed under: Candidatus Phytoplasma luffae
Lineage: Bacteria; Bacillati; Mycoplasmatota; Mollicutes; Acholeplasmatales; Acholeplasmataceae
Also listed under: 3 other names
Description: tRNA-Trp
Rfam family: tRNA
About the family: Transfer RNA (tRNA) molecules are approximately 80 nucleotides in length. Their secondary structure includes four short double-helical elements and three loops (D, anti-codon, and T loops).
Source: RNAcentral
AGGGAUAUGAUGUUAACGGCAGCAUAACGGUCUCCAAAACCGCUUGUUCGGGUUCGAAUCCUGAUAUCCCUGCCA